RNAcentral lists this ribosomal RNA (982 nucleotides) under uncultured bacterium. Its description in RNAcentral is "bacterial SSU rRNA". It matches the Rfam family "Bacterial small subunit ribosomal RNA", at positions 504 to 1482 of the family's 1533-position model. The record is from RNAcentral.
CGUGCCAGCAGCCGCGGUAAUACGUAGGGGGGCGAGCGUUUUUCCGGAAUGACUGGGCGUAAAGGGCGCGUAGGCGGCUAGAUAAGUUUGGAGUGAAAGUCCCGCUUUCAAGGUGGGAAUUGCUUUGAAAACUGUUUAGCUUGAGUGCAGAAGAGGAAAGCGGAAUUCCCGGUGUAGCGGUGAAAUGCGUAGAGAUCGGGAGGAACACCAGUGGCGAAGGCGGCUUUCUGGGCUGUAACUGACGCUGAGGCGCGAAAGCGUGGGGAGCGAACAGGAUUAGAUACCCUGGUAGUCCACGCGGUAAACGAUGAAUGCUAGGUGUAGGGGGUAUCGACCCCUCCUGUGCCGGAGUAAGCACAAUAAGCAUUCCGCCUGGGGAGUACGGCCGCAAGGUUGAAACUCAAAGGAAUUGACGGGGGCCCGCACAAGCAGCGGAGCAUGUGGUUUAAUUCGAAGCAACGCGAAGAACCUUACCAGGUCUUGACAUCGAUCUAAUCCUCAGAGAUGGGGAGUGCCCUUCGGGGCAGGAGAAGACAGGUGGUGCAUGGUUGUCGUCAGCUCGUGUCGUGAGAUGUUGGGUUAAGUCCCGCAACGAGCGCAACCCUUAUGAUCAGUUACUAACGGGUAAGGCCGAGGACUCUGAUGAGACUGCCGGGGACAACUCGGAGGAAGGUGGGGACGACGUCAAAUCAUCAUGCCCCUUAUGACCUGGGCUACACACGUGCUACAAUGGCGGUAACAAAGAGGAGCGAAGCCGUAAGGUGGAGCGGAUCUCAAAAAGGCCGUCCCAGUUCGGAUUGUGGGCUGCAACCCGCCCACAUGAAGUCGGAGUUGCUAGUAAUCGCGAAUCAGCAUGUCGCGGUGAAUACGUUCCCGGGCCUUGUACACACCGCCCGUCACACCAUGGGAGUUGGGAGCACCCGAAGCCGGUGAGCCGACCGCAAGGAGGCAGCCGUCGAAGGUGAGACCGAUGACUGGGGUG